Molecule: transfer RNA, 85 nt
Filed under: [Emmonsia] crescens
Lineage: Eukaryota; Fungi; Ascomycota; Eurotiomycetes; Onygenales; Ajellomycetaceae
Description: Emmonsia crescens tRNA
Rfam family: tRNA
About the family: Transfer RNA (tRNA) molecules are approximately 80 nucleotides in length. Their secondary structure includes four short double-helical elements and three loops (D, anti-codon, and T loops).
Source: Rfam by way of RNAcentral
GCUCCAGUAGCUCAGCGGUUAGAGCGUGCGAUUGCAGUUACGCACUAUUAUCGCAAUGUCCCUUGUUCGAAUCAGGGUUGGAGCU